Molecule: ribosomal RNA, 460 nt
Filed under: uncultured bacterium
Lineage: Bacteria
Description: partial 16S ribosomal RNA
Rfam family: Bacterial small subunit ribosomal RNA
Source: RNAcentral
CCUACGGGUGGCAGCAGUGAGGAAUAUUGGUCAAUGGACGAGAGUCUGAACCAGCCAAGUAGCGUGAAGGAUGACUGCCCUAUGGGUUGUAAACUUCUUUUAUAUGGGAAUAAAAUGUUCCACGUGUGGGCUUUUGUAUGUACCAUAUGAAUAAGGAUCGGCUAACUCCGUGCCAGCAGCCGCGGUAAUACGGAGGAUCCGAGUGUUAUCCGGAUUUAUUGGGUUUAAAGGGAGCGUAGGUGGUUUGUUAAGUCAGUUGUGAAAGUUUGCGGCUCAACCGUAAAAUUGCAGUUGAAACUGGCAGUCUUGAGUACAGUAGAGGUAGGCGGAAUUCGUGGUGUAGCGGUGAAAUGCUUAGAUAUCACGAAGAACUCCGAUUGCGAAGGCAGCUCACUGGACUGCCACUGACACUGAGGCUCGAAAGUGUGGGUAUCAAACAGGAUUAGAUACCCCAGUAGUC